RNAcentral lists this ribosomal RNA (497 nucleotides) under uncultured bacterium. Its description in RNAcentral is "partial 16S ribosomal RNA". It matches the Rfam family "Bacterial small subunit ribosomal RNA", at positions 28 to 507 of the family's 1533-position model. The record is from RNAcentral.
GACGAACGCUGGCGGCGUGCCUAAUACAUGCAAGUUGAGCGCUGAAGGUUGGUACUUGUACCGACUGGAUGAGCAGCGAACGGGUGAGUAACGCGUGGGGAAUCUGCCUUUGAGCGGGGGACAACAUUUGGAAACGAAUGCUAAUACCGCAUAAAAACUUUAAACACAAGUUUUAAGUUUGAAAGAUGCAAUUGCAUCACUCGAAGAUGAUCCCGCGUUGUAUUAGCUAGUUGGUGAGGUAAAGGCUCACCAAGGCGAUGAUACAUAGCCGACCUGAGAGGGUGAUCGGCCACAUUGGGACUGAGACACGGCCCAAACUCCUACGGGAGGCAGCAGUAGGGAAUCUUCGGCAAUGGACGAAAGUCUGACCGAGCAACGCCGCGUGAGUGAAGAAGGGUUUCGGAUCGUAAAACUCUGUUGGUAGAGAAGAACGUUGGUGAGAGUGGAAAGCUCAUCAAGUGACGGUAACUACCCAGAAAGGGACGGCUAACUACGUG